Molecule: unclassified non-coding RNA, 329 nt
Filed under: soil metagenome
Description: partial contains 5.8S ribosomal RNA, internal transcribed spacer 2, and large subunit ribosomal RNA
Rfam family: 5.8S ribosomal RNA (bases 1-120)
Source: RNAcentral
GAUGAAGAACGUAGCGAAAUGCGAUAAGUAAUGUGAAUUGCAGAAUUCAGUGAAUCAUCGAAUCUUUGAACGCACAUUGCGCCCCUUGGUAUUCCGAGGGGCAUGCCUGUUCGAGCGUCAUUAUAACCCCUCAAGCUCAGCUUGGUGUUGGGGCCUGCUGCACUGGCAGCCCUUAAAAUCAGUGGCGGCGCCAUCUGGCUCUAAGUGUAGUAAUUCUUCUCGCUAUGGAGUCCUGGUGGAUGCUUGCCAUCAACCCCCAAUUUUUCUAUGGUUGACCUCGGAUCAGGUAGGGAUACCCGCUGAACUUAAGCAUAUCAAUAAGCGGAGGA